CCUACGGGAGGCAGCAGUAAGGAAUAUUGGUCAAUGGAGGCAACUCUGAACCAGCCAUGCCGCGUGCAGGAAGACGGCCCUCUGGGUCGUAAACUGCUUUUAUUCGGGAAUAAACCUUAUUACGUGUAAUAAGCUGAAUGUACCGAAGGAAUAAGGAUCGGCUAACUCCGUGCCAGCAGCCGCGGUAAUACGGAGGAUCCAAGCGUUAUCCGGAUUUAUUGGGUUUAAAGGGUGCGUAGGCGGCUUAUUAAGUCAGGGGUGAAAGACGGUGGCUCAACCAUCGCAGUGCCUUUGAUACUGAUGAGCUUGAAUGAACUAGAGGUAGGCGGAAUGUGACAAGUAGCGGUGAAAUGCAUAGAUAUGUCACAGAACACCGAUUGCGAAGGCAGCUUACUAUGGUUUUAUUGACGCUGAGGCACGAAAGCGUGGGGAUCAAACAGGAUUAGAUACCCUGGUAGUCCACGCCCUAAACGAUGAAUACUCGCUGUUAGCGAUAUACAGUUAGCGGCUAAGCGAAAGCGUUAAGUAUUCCACCUGGGGAGUACGCCCGCAAGGGUGAAACUCAAAGGAAUUGACGG
This 578-nucleotide ribosomal RNA is filed under the name uncultured bacterium. RNAcentral's name for it is "bacterial SSU rRNA". It matches the Rfam family "Bacterial small subunit ribosomal RNA", at positions 338 to 916 of the family's 1533-position model. The record is from RNAcentral.